This 420-nucleotide ribosomal RNA is filed under the name Acanthamoeba sp. CDC # V522. RNAcentral describes it as "SSU rRNA". It matches the Rfam family "Eukaryotic small subunit ribosomal RNA", at positions 875 to 1207 of the family's 1831-position model. The record is from RNAcentral. Lineage: Eukaryota; Discosea; Longamoebia; Acanthamoebidae.
GGGAUAGUUGGGGGCAUUAAUAUUUAAUUGUCAGAGGUGAAAUUCUUGGAUUUAUGAAAGAUUAACUUCUGCGAAAGCAUCUGCCAAGGAUGUUUUCAUUAAUCAAGAACGAAAGUUAGGGGAUCGAAGACGAUCAGAUACCGUCGUAGUCUUAACCAUAAACGAUGCCGACCAGCGAUUAGGAGACGUUGAAUACAAAACACCACCAUCGGCGCGGUCGUCCUUGGCGUCGGUCCUUCACGGGGCCGGCGCGAGGGCGGCUUAGCCCGGUGGCACCGGUGAAUGACUCCCCUAGCAGCUUGUGAGAAAUCAUAAGUCUUUGGGUUCCGGGGGGAGUAUGGUCGCAAGGCUGAAACUUAAAGGAAUUGACGGAAGGGCACCACCAGGAGUGGAGCCUGCGGCUUAAUUUGACUCAACACG